RNAcentral lists this ribosomal RNA (248 nucleotides) under uncultured bacterium. Its description in RNAcentral is "partial 16S ribosomal RNA". It matches the Rfam family "Bacterial small subunit ribosomal RNA", at positions 109 to 353 of the family's 1533-position model. The record is from RNAcentral.
AGUAACGCGUGAGUAACCUGCCUUUCAGAGGGGGAUAACGUUCUGAAAAGAACGCUAAUACCGCAUGAGACUACAGAGCUGCAUGGCUCAGUGGUCAAAGGAGCAAUCCGCUGAAAGAUGGACUCGCGUCCGAUUAGAUAGUAGGCGGGGUAACGGCCCACCUAGUCGACGAUCGGUAGCCGGACUGAGAGGUUGAACGGCCACAUUGGGACUGAGAUACGGCCCAGACUCCUACGGGAGGCAGCAUG